This 153-nucleotide ribosomal RNA is filed under the name uncultured Enterobacteriaceae bacterium. RNAcentral describes it as "partial 16S ribosomal RNA". It matches the Rfam family "Bacterial small subunit ribosomal RNA", at positions 381 to 526 of the family's 1533-position model. The record is from RNAcentral. Lineage: Bacteria; Pseudomonadati; Pseudomonadota; Gammaproteobacteria; Enterobacterales; Enterobacteriaceae.
GCCUGAUGCAGCCAUGCCGCGUGUGUGAAGAAGGCCUUCGGGUUGUAAAGCACUUUCAGCGGGGAGGAAGGCGAUGCGGUUAAUAACCGUGUUGAUUGACGUUACCCGCAGAAGAAGCACCGGCUAACUCCGUGCCAGCAGCCGCGGUAAUAA